GACGAACGCUGGCGGCGUGCCUAAUACAUGCAAGUCGAACGCAGUGGGGACGGGUGAGUAACACUUGGGUAACCUCCCAUCAGAGGGGAUAACACUUGGAAACAGGUGCUAAACCGAUAUUGAUGGAUGGACCCGCGGUGCAUUAGCUAGUUGGUGAGGUAACGGCUCACCAAGGCUACGAUGCAUAGCCGACCUAGUGAGCGACUCUCCCUCCCUGGGACUGAGACACGGCCCGUACUCCUUCCUCCUUCCCCCUAUUCCCUUCUUCCAACCUUCACGAAAGUCUGACCCAGCAACGCCGCGUGAGUGAAAACCUUUUUCUGUUCAUCACACUCUGUUGUUAUAGAAGCGGUAUCUAACCAGAAAGCCACGGCUAACUACGUGCCAGCAGCCGCGGUAAUAC
RNAcentral lists this ribosomal RNA (403 nucleotides) under uncultured bacterium. RNAcentral's name for it is "partial 16S ribosomal RNA". It matches the Rfam family "Bacterial small subunit ribosomal RNA", at positions 28 to 526 of the family's 1533-position model. The record is from RNAcentral.